AUUGAACGCUGGCGGCAUGCUUUACACAUGCAAGUCGAACGGUAACAGGCCUUCGGGUGCUGACGAGUGGCGAACGGGUGCGUAAUGCAUCGGAACGUGCCCAGAGGUGGGGGAUAACGCAGCGCAAGCUGUGCUAAUACCGCAUGUGAUCUGAGGAUGAAAGCGGGGGACCAAGCAGCAAUGUUUGGCCUCGCGCCUCUGGAGCGGCCGAUGUCAGAUUAGGUAGUUGGUGGGGUAAAGGCCUACCAAGCCGACGAUCUGUAGCUGGUCUGAGAGGACGACCAGCCACACUGGGACUGAGACACGGCCCAGACUCCUACGGGAGGCAGCAGUGGGGAAUUUUGGACAAUGGGCGCAAGCCUGAUCCAGCAAUGCCGCGUGCGGGAAGAAGGCCUUCGGGUUGUAAACCGCUUUUGUACGGAACGAAAAGGCUCUGGCUAAUACCUGGGGCUGAUGACGGUACCGUAAGAAUAAGCACCGGCUAACUACGUG
RNAcentral lists this ribosomal RNA (492 nucleotides) under uncultured bacterium. RNAcentral's name for it is "partial 16S ribosomal RNA". It matches the Rfam family "Bacterial small subunit ribosomal RNA", at positions 30 to 507 of the family's 1533-position model. The record is from RNAcentral.